This 30-nucleotide non-coding RNA is filed under the name Mus musculus (house mouse). The record is from RNAcentral. Lineage: Eukaryota; Metazoa; Chordata; Mammalia; Rodentia; Muridae.
UNGCUUCCAGGUACAGCUGGGCCUCCCAUC